Molecule: ribosomal RNA, 253 nt
Filed under: uncultured bacterium
Lineage: Bacteria
Description: partial 16S ribosomal RNA
Rfam family: Bacterial small subunit ribosomal RNA
Source: RNAcentral
UACGAAGGGGGCUAGCGUUGUUCGGAAUAACUGGGCGUAAAGCGCACGUAGGCGGAUUUGUAAGUCAGGGGUGAAAUCCCGGGGCUCAACCUCGGAACUGCCUUUGAUACUACAAGUCUAGAGUCCGGAAGAGGUGAGUGGAAUUCCUAGUGUAGAGGUGAAAUUCGUAGAUAUUAGGAAGAACACCAGUGGCGAAGGCGGCUCACUGGUCCGGAACUGACGCUGAGGUGCGAAAGCGUGGGGAGCAAACAGG